UUGAUAUUUCAAAUAAUAUGUCGUCAAACUUUACAAAGUUUGACUGAAACUAUGUGCACAAGACAAUUUUGUGAGCCGGAGGAAGUACAUAGAGUCACACCGCGAAAUUGCUAUGUAAAACCGCUUUGAAGCAUUAUUUGAGCUAGUUGUGACAGAAAGACGGUAGAAUACAAAAUAGGUUUAUGUUUGAGAUGGUCGAGUUGGCUAUGUAUCGAACAUGAGUGUUUGACCUACAUUUGGGUUAUUCCGGUUCACACAUAUCACUGUAUUACUGUUUUUGUCUUGCUCGAAACUCUUAUGAUUUGACACUGUGUGACAAUCUACACUGGACAUGUUUCUCUACUACAACAUGUCGUAGAUAUCAACAAUCGAUCAAAUGUCAUGGAGAAACCAGGGAUUUCUAUGAAUUCUAUUGUUUUGAUUGUGCACAGAUGGAAGGACGGCUGAAAUAUGUAAUUGUGUGCCGCAAUAAUCAAUAAACCUUGUAGUAUCAAAUUGUAGAAUCAGCAUAUCUAUCAUUACACGUGCUAAUGUCACCUUUUUCGGUUGUGGAGUGGCUAAUAAACAGGCCGACCCCUUCGAGUGAAACAUAGAAGAAUAUUAUUGUUUACGUCUAUCCAUUUUCUAGUAAAAUGGGUUUAUAUCCAUAGUAGAUUCUUCCAUCAACAUGAGAGCGUCUAAAGGCCUUGUACAAUGCAGGGAGAUAUAAAUUAGUCUUCCUUUAUGCAUUGCUUGACUUGCCAUGAACCAUGGUACCGAGAGAGGUAUCAUUCAUCUUACUUUUACAUUUUACAUGCUAAUAUUACUAUUGUGCCAUGGUACCGAGAGAGGUAUCAUUCAUCUUACUUUUACUUGCCAUGAACCAUGUUACCGAGAGAGGUAUACCUGUAAUAUAUUGCACCGAAAGAGUGAUCUUCAUGUUUGGUAGCUUUGCUUGCUUUGCCGGAAUGUUGUUUCAUUUCCGUUCCGACAAAUUUUACGUGCUCCAUAUGUCCAAGUUUUAGUAAAUGUCAUGCCCAAAUUUUCUCUGUUUUAGGAAUUGUCGUCUGAUGACGGAUACGUUAUGUGCGAAUACUGCCAAGACAAGCGCGGCCUUUGCGACACGCCUUUCCUAGUUGAUGAUAGGCGCUUCAGCAUCAUGCUGGAUGAGGACUUCG
Molecule: long non-coding RNA, 1157 nt
Filed under: Hordeum vulgare
Lineage: Eukaryota; Viridiplantae; Streptophyta; Magnoliopsida; Poales; Poaceae
Description: long non-coding RNA (HVUL_LNC015504)
Source: RNAcentral